Molecule: ribosomal RNA, 272 nt
Filed under: uncultured Hyphomicrobiales bacterium
Lineage: Bacteria; Pseudomonadati; Pseudomonadota; Alphaproteobacteria; Hyphomicrobiales
Description: uncultured Rhizobiales bacterium partial 16S ribosomal RNA
Rfam family: Bacterial small subunit ribosomal RNA
Source: RNAcentral
UACGAAGGGGGCUAGCGUUGCUCGGAAUCACUGGGCGUAAAGGGCGCGUAGGCGGCCGAUUAAGUCGGGGGUGAAAGCCUGUGGCUCAACCACAGAAUUGCCUUCGAUACUGGUUGGCUUGAGACCGGAAGAGGACAGCGGAACUGCGAGUGUAGAGGUGAAAUUCGUAGAUAUUCGCAAGAACACCAGUGGCGAAGGCGGCUGUCUGGUCCGGUUCUGACGCUGAGGCGCGAAAGCGUGGGGAGCAAACAGGAUUAGAUACCCUGGUAGUC